RNAcentral lists this ribosomal RNA (992 nucleotides) under uncultured Chryseobacterium sp. Its description in RNAcentral is "bacterial SSU rRNA". It matches the Rfam family "Bacterial small subunit ribosomal RNA", at positions 406 to 1413 of the family's 1533-position model. The record is from RNAcentral. Lineage: Bacteria; Pseudomonadati; Bacteroidota; Flavobacteriia; Flavobacteriales; Weeksellaceae.
UGAAGAUGGGGGAACGCCCCGAGAAUGUCGUUAAAUUUUGUAGGAUAAACCCUCGUGAGGGCAGCUGAAGACUGUAGAAUAAGCACGGCUAACCGCCAGCAGCCGCGGUAAUACGAGGGUGCGAGCGUUAUCCGGAUUUAUUGGGUUUAAAGGGUCCGUAGGCGGGCCUGUAAGUCAGUGGUGAAAUCUCAUAGCUUAACUAUGAAACUGCCAUUGAUACUGCAGGCCUUGAGUAAAUUUGAAGUGGCUGGAAUAAGUAGUGUAGCGGUGAAAUGCAUAGAUAUUACUUAGAACACCGAUUGCGAAGGCAGGUCACUAAGAUUUAACUGACGCUGAUGGACGAAAGCGUGGGGAGCGAACAGGAUUAGAUACCCUGGUAGUCCACGCCGUAAACGAUGCUAACUCGUUUUUGGAUCUUCGGGUUCAGAGACCAAGCGAAAGUGAUAAGUUAGCCACCUGGGGAGUACGUCCGCAAGGAUGAAACUCAAAGGAAUUGACGGGGGCCCGCACAAGCGGUGGAUUAUGUGGUUUAAUUCGAUGAUACGCGAGGAACCUUACCAAGACUUAAAUGGGAAUUGACAGAUUUAGAAAUAGAUCCUCCUUCGGGCAAUUUUCAAGGUGCUGCAUGGUUGUCGUCAGCUCGUGCCGUGAGGUGUUAGGUUAAGUCCUGCAACGAGCGCAACCCCUGCCAACAGUUGCCAUCAUUCAGUUGGGGACUCUGUUGGGACUGCCUACGCAAGUAGAGAGGAAGGUGGGGAUGACGUCAAAUCAUCACGGCCCUUACGUCUUGGGCCACACACGUAAUACAAUGGCCGGUACAGAGGGCAGCUACCUGGUGACAGGAUGCGAAUCUCGAAAGCCGGUCUCAGUUCGGAUUGGAGUCUGCAACUCGACUCUAUGAAGCUGGAAUCGCUAGUAAUCGCGCAUCAGCCAUGGCGCGGUGAAUACGUUCCCGGGCCUUGUACACACCGCCCGUAAUCACUAGUGAAUUC